RNAcentral lists this long non-coding RNA (512 nucleotides) under Numida meleagris (helmeted guineafowl). RNAcentral's name for it is "lncRNA (ENSNMEG00000002846.1)". Lineage: Eukaryota; Metazoa; Chordata; Aves; Galliformes; Numididae. The record is from RNAcentral.
UUGUACGACAUACUGUGGACACAUAUUUUGCUUUUUGUAUGCAAUUUUUAUUGACAACUGCAUUAUAAAAGCUGCCACCAUUCAGCUUGACAUGCAGCUUUUGCACAGUGGGAAGAUGUGGCAAAUGGUUUGCUUUUUUGCCUUGCAGGAAAUUACUGAGGUUUUCAGGACUGGGUGAGAAAGCAACUAUUUUCAGUUCACUUCUAUUGAAAAAAGGAACGCGUAUUUGGAGGCACCACAGAGAAGUGGAAUAUACUGUAUCAUAUCAUGGUGUCAACUUGACUUCGCUGAAAUGGCAUACAACUUUGAUUUUCUCAUCAGGAAAAAAUGUUUAUUCCCUUUGCCAGACCUAGCAGAUAAGAAACUACUGUGUGUAGCACUGCAUAUUUUGAUACUGGGGAUAUCUGCACAGAGCUAUUCUUGAGACACAUGCUAAAAAUAUUUGGUGUGCUUUGUGUUGAAUUGUUGUCAUGAAUUAUUAAAAUGAGCUGUUAUGUUUUCAUUAAACUGGC